AUGCUCAAUCUGAUGUCGAUGCUCGUCUCUAUGGGUUACUUUACCCAAGUUGAGCAGAAGUUCAUGGUCUCUGGUCAUUCUUUUCUUCCUUGUGAUCGAUCUUUUGCCACCAUCGAGAAGAGGCGCAAGGUGUCAGUCCUUCAUACACCUGAUGAUGUUUCAAAGAUGAUACUUGAAGCACAACCAGCAAAACCAUUCAAGGUGAUGAGGAUGCAAUGUGAAGACUUCAGGCACCUCCCAGAUUCUGUCCUCAAGCGACCAGCUGGACUACAGAUCACCUCAGUGAGGUGGUUAAAAGUCACAGUUGAGGAUCCUUGGAAUCUGUACGCCAAACAGAGCCACAGUCUAUUUGAGGGAUGGAAGUCGUGGCUGAUCUCCAAACCAAAACAAGGAGCUACACCUCAGCCUCCCUAUUUUGCAAGCCACUACCCUAGAGCAUAUGAGAGUCCUCUGCCCAUCAAAAAAAACAAGUACCAAGAUCUGAUGACCAUGCUCAACUACUUGCCAGCUGCUGCACACUCUUUUUAUGAAUCACUGCAGAGUGAAUCAUUUGUUGUUAAACCAAGCUACAUAAUUAAACGUUUUUUUCUGUGAGUUUAUGAUCCCCUGAACCUGUAUACUGUAGUAUGUUGAAUCUGUAUACAUUUCAGAAGACAUGUCACCCCUAUUGUAGGAAAUUAAAUGUAUCGUAGGUGUUUUCUAUGUGAAUCAAUUUGUGUAUGAUUUGAACCAGCACAAUAUAUUGAAUUAAUUUAAUUUUAAGAUGUUGUUCCUAGUGUAGAAAAUGUUAUGUACAAUGUGUUCUGUUGAUAAUUAUUUUGUGUGAUCAUUUGAACCUUUUUUAAUCUGAAUGAAUUAAAAACAAAUAAGUCAUCACAUACAGUAUGUGAGUAUUCAUUUGAUCUUGAUUCCCUUUUAUUAUUCAUUACAAUAUACACUGUCUCUCUGUCACCACAUUUAGCAUUAACUCUAAGCAGUUAAUACUUAUUUACUGCUGUCACCUCAGUGCAGAAGGACAUUUCUUGCCUUUAGCAUGGGUUUAACGCAAUUCACAACUUAAUUACUGAUCAUGGUGUUAAACACAAAGAGAAUGGUUUUCUGAACGUUUUGUAAUAUUGACCUUCGGGACCUGCAUAAUGGACAUGCAUAUUGGCACAUCACAUUUAUCCCUAUUUGAUAUUUACAAGUUGUGCUUGUUUUGAUUGAAUUAAUUUAAUUGUAUUCUAUUUUGGUAGUUCUAUGGUAUGUUCACAUUGAGGGCUUCAUUUUAAAUGAGACUAAGAUUUCAUGACUCAACUUUUAAGAAAAGUCAUCAUUGCUAAAGUUGAUAGACCACCUUUAAAUGAACCUCCAUACAAAUGAAUUAACUGCAUAUUGCAUUUAAGUUAUUUACAUGAAGGGCAUCUGUACUUGAAAGUACUUAAAACAUCAUAUCAGGUGUUAAAAAAGGACAUCUUACAAGAGUCAUGCAAAAUGUCACAUAUACUGUUCUUCCACAAACUGAGAUCAUCACUGGAGAUAUACUGUUCUUCCACAUUCUAAAAAUUAAAACGGCAAUAAAAAAAAUAUAAUUUGUUGUUGGAAGAUAUGGGUAUGGUGAAUUAUUUCUCAACCACAAAACACCUAAUGUGGUACACACAAUUAAUAAUAUAAAAAUAACUGAUUAUCUUAAAAUGGAAAAAUUGUCACAUAUAUGGUUCUUCGUCUGUAGGGUUCAUAUGAUCAAUUUUUUUGGUUCUAGUCAGGAUUCUAGCAGCCGUAUUUAGCACUAACUGAAGUUUAUUUAGUGCUUUAUCCGGGUGGCCGGAAAGUAGAGCAUUGCAGUAGUCUAACCUAGAAGUAACAAAAGCAUGGAUUCAUUUUUCUGCAUAAUUUUUGGACAGAAAGUUUCUGAUUUUUCAAAGUUACGUAGAUGGAAAAAAGCUGUCCUUGAAACAGUCUUGAUAUGUUCGUCAAAAGAGAGAUCAGGGUCCAGAGUAACGCCGAGGUCCUUCACAGUUUUAUUUGAGAGUACUGAACAACCAUCGAGAUUAAUUGUCAGAUUCAACAGAAGAUCUCUUUGUUUCUUGGGACCUAGAACAAGUAUCAAUUUUUUGUCCGAGUUUAAAUGUAGAACGUUUGCAGAAAUCCACUUCCUUAUGUCUGAAACACAGGCUUCUAGCAAGGGCUAUUUUGGGGCUUCACCAUGUUUCAUUGAAAUGUACAGCUGUGUGUCAUCCGCAUAGCAGUGAAAGUUAACAUUAUGUUUUCGAAUGACAUCCCCAAGAGGUAAAACAUAUAGUGAAAACAAUAGUGGUCCUAAAACGGAACCUUGAGGAACACCGACAUUUACAGUUGAUUUGUCAGAGGACAAACCAUUCACAGACACAAACUGAUAUCUUUCUGACAGAUAAGAUAUAAACCAGGCCAGAACUUGUCCAUGUAGACCAAUUUGGGUUUCCAAUCUCUCCAAAAGAAUGUGGUGAUCGAUGGUAUCAAAAGUAGCACUAAGGUCUAGGAGCACGAGGACAGAAGCAGAGCCUCGGUCUGAUGCCAUUAAAAGGUAAUUUACCACCUUCACAAGUGCAGUCUCAGUGCUAUGAUGGGGUCUAAAACCAGACUGAAGCAUUUCGUAUACAUUGUUUGUCUUCAGGCAAGCUGCGCAACAGCUUUUUCAAAAUGUUUUGAGAGGAAUGGAAGAUUCGAUAUAGGCCGAUAGUUUUUUAUAUUUUUGGGGUCAAGACUUGGCUUUUUCAAGAGAGGCUUUAUUACUGCCACUUUUAGUGAGUUUGGUACACUUCCGGUGGAUAGAGAGACGUUUAUUAUGUUCAACAUAGGAGGGCCAAGCACAGGAAGCAGCUCCUUCAGUAGUUUAGUUGGAAUAGGGUCCAGUAUGCAGCUUGAAAGUUUAGAGGCCAAGAUUAUUUUCAUCAUUGUGUCAAGAGAUAUAGUACUAAAACACUUGAGCGUCUCUCUUGAUCCUAGGUCCUAGCAGAGUUGUGCAGACUCAGUACAACUGAGCUUUGGAGGAAUACGCAGAUUUAAAGAGGGGUCCGUAAUUUGCUUUCUAAUGAUCAUGAUCUUUUCCUCAAAGAAGUUCAUGAAUUUAUUACUGCUGAAGUGAAAGCCAUCCUCACUUGGGGAAUGCUGCUUCUUAGUUAGCUUUGCGACAGUAUCAAAAUGACAUUUUGGAAUGUUCUUAUUUUCCUCAAUUAAGUUGGAAAAAUAGGAUGAUCUAGCUAGUCAGAAGACUUCCAGUUUGGUGUGGCGCCAUUUCUGUUCCAAUUUUCUGGAAGCUUGCUUCAGAGCUCUGGUACUUUCUGUAUACCAGGGAGCUAGUUUCUUAUGACAAAUGUUUUUAGUUUUUAGGGGUGCAACUGCAUCUAGGCUAUUGCGCAAGGUUAAAUUGAGUUCCUCAGUUAGGUGGUUAACUGAUUUUUGUCCUCUGAUGUCCUUGGGUAGGCAGAGGGAGUCUGUAAGGGCAUCAAGGAAUCUUUGUUUUGUCUGAGAAUUUAUCGCACAACUUUUGAUGCUCCUUGGUUGGGGUCUGAGCAGAUUAUUUGUUGCGAUUGCAAACGUAAUAAAAUGGUGGUCCGAUAGUCCAGGAUUAUGAGGAAAAACAUUAAGAUCCACAACAUUUAUUCCAUGGGACAAAACUAGGUCCAGAGUAUGACUGUGUCAGUGAGUUGGUCCAGAGACAUGUUGGACAAAACCCACUGAGUCAAUGAUGGCUCCGAAAGCCUUUUAGAGUGGGUCUGUGGACUUUUCCAUGUGAAUAUUAAAAUCACCAAAAUUAAAAUAUUAUCUGCUAUGACUACAAGGUUUGAUAGGAAUUCAGGGAACUCAGUGAGGAGUGCUGUAUAUGGCCCAGGAGGCCUGUAAACAGUAGCUAUAAAAAUUGAUUGAGUAGGCUGCAUAGAUUUCAUGACUAGAAGCUCAAAAGACGAAAACUUCAUUUUUUGUUUUUAAAUUGAAAUUUGCUAUCGUAAAUGUUAGCAACACCUCCGCCUUUGCGGGAUGCAUGGGGGAUAUGGUCACUAGUGUAACCAGGAGGUGAGGCCUCAUUUAACACAAUAAAUUCAUCAGGCUUAAGCCAUGUUUCAGUCAGGCCAAUCACAUCAAGAUUAUGAUCAGUGAUUAGUUCAUUGACCAUAACUGCCUUUGAAGUGAGGGAUCUAACAUUAAGUAGCCCUAUUUUGAGAUGUGAGGUAUCACGAUCUCUUUCAAUAAUGGCAGGAAUGGGGGAGGUCUUUAUCCUAGUGAGAUUGCUAAGGCGAACACCGCCAUGUUUAGUUUUGACCAACCUAGGUCGAGGCACAGACACGGUCUCAAUGGGGAUAGCUGAGCUGACUACACUGACUAUCCUAGUGGCAGACUCCACUAAGCUGGCAGGCUGGCUAACAACAUGUAAUGUCAUGAAAUGUGAGAUGCGUGUGUCUGCCACCCCACCCCAACCCACAUGAAAUAGCCUAUUUGAGGCUGUUGAGAGGGCAGGAUCACAUCAAUGGCCAAAGUGAAAUGGAGACAGUAGAUACAGCUGGUCUGUUGUAAUAUAAUAAAGACAGUAGAUCUAGCUGGUCUGUCAUAAUAUAAUAGAGACAGUAGAUCUAGCUGAAAUGUCAUAAUAUAAAAGAGACAGGAGAUCUAGCAGGUAAUAAUAAUAUCAUAAUAUAUUCAACCUUCAACUCUCUAUAUAUAUCUGUUUAUUAUACCUGUUGAUACAUGGCUCAUAUGUGAAACUAUUCUAACUGAACAUUUUCUUUCACAGUGACACUGAUGCCGAAUGGGAGUCUUAUCCGGUGUCCUGUGUGAAUUUAAGUAUGCUCUCUCUAAUUCUCUCUUUCUCUCUCUCGGAGGACCUGAACCUUAGGACCAUGCGUCAGGACUACCUGGCAUGAUGACUCUUUGCUGUCCCCAGUCCAUCUGGCCUUGCCGCUGUUCCAAUUUCAACUGUUUGGUAUUUUGUAUAUAGUUAUUUGUUUCAAAAUGUAUACCUUCACCAAUUUGGCCACUUGGGUACAUUUGGGCUACUUGUGUGGGACACCUGGGUGACUUCAUGAUAAAUUGCAUGUAGCACACUCAUUUUGGAAGUUAUCAUUCUGAAACUUUGCACAAGUACUGUUGCCCUCUUAUAUUUUUCACUGAAAUUGUCCCCAUCAUCCUAUCUGAAUGUUUGUUAUUUCUUGUUCAUUUUAAAGAUGAUGAUAUAAAAAUAAAAAAUGUAUGUUUUUUUUCAUUGUUUUAUCUAAACCAGAUCUAUUGUGUUAUAUUUGUUAUAUUCUACACAAACUUCAUAGUGUUUUCUUUCAUAUGGUACCAAGAAUAUGCAUAUCCUUGGUUCUGUGCCUGAGCUACAGGCUUUUAUAU
RNAcentral lists this long non-coding RNA (5346 nucleotides) under Oncorhynchus mykiss (rainbow trout). RNAcentral describes it as "lncRNA (ENSOMYG00000073449.1)". The record is from RNAcentral. Lineage: Eukaryota; Metazoa; Chordata; Actinopteri; Salmoniformes; Salmonidae.